RNAcentral lists this ribosomal RNA (468 nucleotides) under uncultured bacterium. Its description in RNAcentral is "partial 16S ribosomal RNA". It matches the Rfam family "Bacterial small subunit ribosomal RNA", at positions 28 to 507 of the family's 1533-position model. The record is from RNAcentral.
GACGAACGCUGGCGGCGUGCUUAACACAUGCAAGUCGAACGGAAAGGCCCUGCUUUUGUGGGGUGCUCGAGUGGCGAACGGGUGAGUAACACGUGAGUAACCUGCCCUUGACUUUGGGAUAACUUCAGGAAACUGGGGCUAAUACCGGAUAGGAGCUCAUGCUGAAUGGUGGGGGUUGGAAAGUUUCGGCGGUUGGGGAUGGACUCGCGGCUUAUCAGCUUGUUGGUGGGGUAGUGGCUUACCAAGGCUUUGACGGGUAGCCGGCCUGAGAGGGUGACCGGCCACAUUGGGACUGAGAUACGGCCCAGACUCCUACGGGAGGCAGCAGUGGGGAAUAUUGCACAAUGGGCGGAAGCCUGAUGCAGCAACGCCGCGUGCGGGAUGACGGCCUUCGGGUUGUAAACCGCUUUCGCCUGUGACGAAGCGUGAGUGACGGUAAUGGGUAAAGAAGCACCGGCUAACUACGUG